This 464-nucleotide ribosomal RNA is filed under the name Vreelandella stevensii. RNAcentral's name for it is "partial 16S ribosomal RNA". It matches the Rfam family "Bacterial small subunit ribosomal RNA", at positions 339 to 795 of the family's 1533-position model. The record is from RNAcentral. Lineage: Bacteria; Pseudomonadati; Pseudomonadota; Gammaproteobacteria; Oceanospirillales; Halomonadaceae.
CCUCGGGGGGCUGCAGUGGGGAAUAUUGGACAAUGGGCGAAAGCCUGAUCCAGCCAUGCCGCGUGUGUGAAGAAGGCCUUCGGGUUGUAAAGCACUUUCAGUGGGGAAGAAAGCCUUGGGGCUAAUACCCUCGAGGAAGGACAUCACCCACAGAAGAAGCACCGGCUAACUCCGUGCCAGCAGCCGCGGUAAUACGGAGGGUGCGAGCGUUAAUCGGAAUUACUGGGCGUAAAGCGCGCGUAGGCGGUCUGAUAAGCCGGUUGUGAAAGCCCCGGGCUCAACCUGGGAACGGCAUCCGGAACUGUCAGGCUAGAGUGCAGGAGAGGAAGGUAGAAUUCCCGGUGUAGCGGUGAAAUGCGUAGAGAUCGGGAGGAAUACCAGUGGCGAAGGCGGCCUUCUGGACUGACACUGACGCUGAGGUGCGAAAGCGUGGGUAGCAAACAGGAUUAGAUACCCCGGUAGUC